CAGCUUGAGUAGCCAUGAUUUCAACUCUCAAUGAAAGCACCAA
Molecule: small RNA, 43 nt
Filed under: Arabidopsis thaliana (thale cress)
Lineage: Eukaryota; Viridiplantae; Streptophyta; Magnoliopsida; Brassicales; Brassicaceae
Description: ATSL168700
Source: RNAcentral